This 490-nucleotide ribosomal RNA is filed under the name uncultured bacterium. RNAcentral describes it as "partial 16S ribosomal RNA". It matches the Rfam family "Bacterial small subunit ribosomal RNA", at positions 28 to 523 of the family's 1533-position model. The record is from RNAcentral.
GACGAACGCUGGCGGUAUGCUUAACACAUGCAAGUCGAACGAGACGAGAUGGAAGUGCUUGCACGGAAAUCUUAGAAAGUGGCGAACGGGUGAGUAACGCGUGGGUAACCUGCCCUAUGGAAAGGAAUAGCCUCGGGAAACUGGGAGUAAUGCCUUAUAAGAUACAUUUGUCGCAUGGCAGAAGUAUUAAACGCUCCGGUGCCAUAGGAUGGACCCGCGUCCCAUUAGCUAGUUGGUGAGAUAACAGCCCACCAAGGCGACGAUGGGUAACCGGUCUGAGAGAGCGAACGGUGCGACUGGAACUGAGACACGGUCCAGACUCCUACAGGAGGCAGCAGUGGGGAAUAUUGCGCAAUGGGGGCAACCCUGACGCAGCAAUACCGCGUGAGUGAAGAAGGUUUUCGGAUCGUAAAGCCCUGUUAUUGGGGAAGAAAAAGGACGGUACCCAAGAAGAAAGUCCCGGCUAACUACGUGCCAGCCGCCGCAGUAA